GUAGGAAAAACCGUCUCAUUUCAGUUCUCUUCGCGAACUUCUGAGGCUUCCACCUUGAAAGACCGAGUGCUCACCUUAAGGUCUCAUGCUUCUAAGGUUGCAGCCCUUGAAUUGGGACACAGCUAAUAUAGGGCUCCUCGGUGCUCGGGCCCUAAAUACCAGUGCUGAUCGACUAACGUUAGCAGUCCUUGGCUUUAUUAGAAAAUCUUGUUAACGGAGAAAAAAUGAACCAGAUCUGCCAAUUUUGCGUCUAAUAUGUUUGGCUUCUGACUGUUGGCUGAGGGGGUCAAGACCACUGAGGAAAAGUUGAGAUGGACCAUUAAAGAUCUCAACACGCACGUCUCCCGGAAAUCAUGUAUAAUUCAACCAAUCAGAGGACGACUUUGGAAGCUGCUGAAGUGCUUCCAGAAAAGUGUGCCAUAUGCAUCAAAUGUUCAGCCAACGGUCCGAGAUGAAGUCAGGUUUUUUUCAGAUCCAUGCGAACGUGGAUCAUUUUGAUGUUGUCGCCUGUACACAAAACUUUAUAAACAUACCCCCUUGCAGAAAGUUUUUAUUUUUUGGCCUUUCUGUAGAAUGAUUGGCAUCCCAACCAAAAAAUCUGUGAAAUUGGCAGAUUGACGUGGCUGUUGUUCACUUGGAACUUUAACUUGGAAAUCUGACCCAUUGUGCCUUAAGGCAGUCGGCUGUGAGACUAUGAGAAUGAUUCUUGUUUAAUCUGUAAGCUUUUAGUUUCGCAUUCAGAUUCCGAAGAAAGAUAUCCCGUCAGGAAUGAAAAACGAUAAGGGUUAUCAAUCAUUUCUUUUAGUACCUUGCUAAAACUCUUUUGAGAUUAGUGUAAUAAAAACAAUGCUUAAUUGUGUUUGCAUUGUACCUUCUGCAGAAAUGAAAGUAGAAUUGGUUUGCUGUGCUGACAUGUUAAAAUGCUACACUGAAGGCCCAAUUUGUCACGCCAUUUUGACAUGACAAAUGGUAAAACAUCAAAGCUGAGAUUCGCUGUGUGGUUUGAAUUAUGUUGCUUGUUGCUUUCCAUCAGCAUGAAAUGUUAUACAGCACGGCUGAGACACCUCUAAAAGAGUUGUUUCAAAUAAACACCCAACAAGAUGCCAGAUUUCAGCAGAAUGCACGAGAACAAUAGCACAUUUGUAGCCAUAACUAUUACAGAAGCAAUAAACAAGUAGGGGCA
This is a long non-coding RNA of Misgurnus anguillicaudatus (oriental weatherfish), 1183 nucleotides long. RefSeq lists it as uncharacterized. The record is from RefSeq and is a predicted model, not a curated record. NCBI's taxonomy places the organism in Eukaryota, Metazoa, Chordata, Actinopteri, Cypriniformes, Cobitidae.